This 292-nucleotide ribosomal RNA is filed under the name uncultured bacterium. RNAcentral describes it as "partial 16S ribosomal RNA". RNAcentral also lists the same sequence under 2 other names. The record is from RNAcentral.
GGACUACCCGGGUUUCUAAUCCCGUUUGCUCCCCUGGCUUUCGCGCCUCAGCGUCAGUAGAGGUCCAGCACGUCGCUUUCGCCACCGGCGUUCCUUCUGAUAUCAACGCAUUUCACCGCUCCACCAGAAGUUCCACAUGCCCCUACCUCCCUCCAGACAGGCAGUUUUCAGGGCCCUUCUCCAGUUGAGCUGGAGGAUUUCACCCCGGACUUGCCCGCCCGCCUACGCGCCCUUUAAGCCCAGUGAUUCCGAACAACGUUAGGACGGUUCGUCUUACCGCGGCGGCUGGCAC